UACGGAGGGUGCAAGCGUUAUCCGGAUUCACUGGGUUUAAAGGGUGCGUAGGCGGGCAGGUAAGUCAGUGGUGAAAUCCUAGAGCUUAACUCUAGAACUGCCAUUGAUACUAUCUGUCUUGAAUAUUUGUGGAGGUAAGCGGGAAUAUGUCAUGUAGCGGUGAAAUGCUUAGAUAUGACAUAGAACACCUAUUGCGAAAGGCAGCUUACUACGCAUAUAUUGACGCUGAGGCACGAAAGCGUGGGGGAUCAAAACAGG
Molecule: ribosomal RNA, 258 nt
Filed under: uncultured bacterium
Lineage: Bacteria
Description: partial 16S ribosomal RNA
Rfam family: Bacterial small subunit ribosomal RNA
Source: RNAcentral